AGGCUCUGUGGUUUAAUUGGCCAUGCUGCCUGGGGCUGAUGGGAGCUGUAGUCCAAAGCACCUGGAGGGCAUGACAUUGGCUAGUCCUGGUCUGCAACAAAAGUCAUGUGAUACUUAAAGAAAAAUAUACCCGUUUGUUAUGGCAUAAGGAUUUGAGGAUAAACGCCCAACUUUGCCUUUAAGGUGUCACAGACGCUUCUGUUUUUGGAUAUGAAAUAUGAUUGAAGGCAAAUAAGGCAAAUAUAACAUGAGCAGUGCAUAUUAAUACUAAAUUUUACCACCUGAAUCAUAUCAUGUUCUCAAAAGCAAAUAACGAAGCAGAGGAAGUAGCCAGUGGCUUCGCUACUAAAAGUGGAGGAUUGCCAAUUCUGGUGCUUUCCCCCAGUUUAUUUUAAAUGGGCUCUUUUGCAGCUGUGUGAACCAGAGUAAAAUGCUAUGUAAAAAAAGUUUUGUCUAAGCAAAGAUAAAUAGACUACAUGAAAAGGGAUGGAACAUCUUAGAUCUUUUAUAUUUACGAAUCGUCAGCAUGGUGUCACCAGUAUGUAUGUAAAAGCAUGCCUUCAUUAUCAUGCUUCUCCUUAUUUUUAAUUAAUUGAUAUAAAGACCACAUAACUGUGUUAUCUAACUAUAUUUUAGCCUGAAACUAUAGGGUUCACACCUGCCAGCACUUCAGAAGCAUGCUACUGGCUAAGCAUUUAAGAUUGCCUUGUUUAAACUUGACCACUGCAUCGCAGUUAUUUAUUUUUUUAAAUUGGAUUCUGUUUUUUACAUUUGCCUGCUUAAUUGCCAUUUUAAAUAGUCAAUAGUUUGAAUAUAAGUGAUAUUAGUUGCCUGCUGUACUAACCAACAUAUGACUGCUGCUUUUAAUUGCAUGUUGCAUGUUACAUUCUUUUUUUACUUUAAAGGUCUUGAGUUAUUCAGUGUCUGCAAUUAAUAUACUGCAUGUAUGCCUUUUUUGUAGGGCAUGUGGCUUUUGAGAUUAAACUUGUUUAGUGUACGGGCAUGCUUUAGGGUUCCGUGAUCAAAUUAUAAUGCACUCAUCACUAUAACUGCAUAUUUUUCUAUGAAUCUAAGGGUAGACAUCUUUCCCUGGAGUCCGGUCUUGGAUGAGCUGCUUUCACCUCUUUACCAUCGAUAAUUCACAUAAAGGGGGUUUUGAGUUCUGAAGUGUACCUACAGCUAAUAGAAAAUAUUGUUUUGAGCAGUACCUUUCUACUAAAACAUAUUUCAUAUGGCCAAUUCUCUGUUAUAGGGUUGGAUCCAGAUUUCUCUUUUUGUGUCAGGGACGAAGGAGUCCUCAGAUAAAGCCUAAUGUUCUUAAAGUACAGCUUUAGAACUAGGAAAAAGUUAUAUUGGCUUAUACUCUACAUACUUCAACCAACUAAUUUGGAGGUAGCCACUUUGUGUAUGCGUAGGGGUGACAGUAUGUUUCCUGUAUAUAGGGUUGCUGCAGAGUCACAGAAGCCAAUCCUGAAUUUUAUUUACUUUUACUAUUUAUUUUUUACAAUUUAUAUACCACUUUUAUUUAAAGUAACGUCUAAGCAGUUUGCAACCUAGAUUUAAGACAUCUUAAAUAAAAAACUAACUCCAAAAAUACCAGAGAAUUUACACAUUAUAGAAGACACAAUUAACUGAACAGAGUGUCGUCUUUAGCAUAGAACUCAGCCGCAAAAUACAAAGAAAAGUGCAUAUUGUAAAACAUAGUAAAUGCUAAAUAAAGUAUUUUCUAAACAUCAGCAGAUAGAUUGCAUCUGAAAAUAAAUAUAAUGUCCAAUAAUGAUAUUUAGGCAAAAGAAAAAUCAACUCAUACUUCCCAACCACCAUACGCCAAAUCAGUUAAACGAUUAAACAAACCAAUCCCAUCAAAUUCCCAGCCCCAUGGAAUCUAAAUGCAGUUUUGUCCAGCUUCCUUGCAGGAUCAAUGGUCUUGCAUCAAACACAUAAACACUCGAAUUCACGAUUCUAGCACAUCCUUAGUCUGCACUGCACACCGCAACCACUGCCAUAAUUCACUCUUGCAUCCCAGAAGCGGUAGCAGCAGUCAACUUUUAGCCCUAUGAUAACAGCAAUGUGUCUCCUGAACCCAAUGUAGUAUCACUUUCAUUUUCAGUUGGCUGAAUCACAUGAUUUUUGUAUAAAGUUGUAUCUUGUUUUUGAGAAAUGGCUCCUCGUUUUUGAGAGAUGGCUCCUAUGCAGAAGGAGCAGAAUUGCAAAGCAUCUGCACUCUUCUCAGCACCUCAGCUUGCUUUGGAGAAAGAUUCUUAUGCAGAAAUGCUCUAUAUCUGAGAAAUAUUUCCUGCCAAGUUUUGACAUCCCAAGACUCCAAAUUUCAUGGUUUAAGAAAAUAGAGCCCUUACGAUUAAAGAAUGGCUAGCUAAUUUUUGGAAACUGGUAGAAAUGUAUAAACUCAGCGAGUUGGUUUGACUGCGUGAUGGAAGACAAAAGAGGAAUUAUUUUAAAAAUGAAUGGAUCCUGUUGAUUGAAUAUAUGAAAAAUAGAUAUAAUAUGGAUAUUGAAAAAUAUAAUAGCAUCUAUAUGGUAAGAAUACAUUGUCAAAACUGUAUUGAUUAUUGACUAUGAUUGUGGAUUUGUAUAUAUGCUGAGUUGGUAUUUAUUUUUAAUGUGAAAUAGUGGUUUUUUUUUUAUAUAUAUAUCUUGAGAUUUUUAUAAAUGUUUGGAAAAAGAAAAAUAGAACUUAAGUGCUAUGGGAAAAGCAUAGAGAAUGAAAAAUAGGAAUCCACAGGGCUUUUGGUGUCCGACAACUUCCUGAUUUAUUUUCAUAGUAUACAUCAUUAAUUUUAAUAUUAAUUUAUAUUCUUCUAUUCUCCUAGCCCCCCCCCCAAAAAAAUCCAAAUUCUUUGAAAGCCUUGAUCUUGGAAACAAAUUGUUUGAAAAGUGUGAAAGUUGAUGACACUUAUAUAAAUCUGCUUAUAGAAUUUAGAUGUUUGUAAUGUGUGUUGGAAAAAGUCAGGGUUUUCUCUUUGCAUAGAGAACAUGUGUCAAGAGCUUAAUACUGAAGACGGCUCUGUUCCAAGUCACUAUUAUUAUUGCCGAGCCAGAAUGUAGUCAUGAAAGCGACAUAUGAAUAUUUCUCACUCAUGUAUAAAAGUCUAUUCUCAGUUGAGGUGACUAAGACAUCCAGUAAUGUGGAUUAAUUCUAGGAAGGCAGGGAACACAUGACAAGCAUUUGGGCCAGCCAUGAAACCCUAAGCUCACCCCUCAGUUGGUUCCCUGCCUUGACCCAGAACCCAUUUUCCUUGCUGCUCCUUUCUCUCUCAGCACUUAACUAUCAUCUUUACUCUUUUCUGGUUACCGUCUCAUGGCUUGCUCAUUUUCCUAGCCUACUUCCAUGUUCUUCUCUUCAAAAGGAAUAGUUUUUUUUCUUUUUGCUCUGUUCCUCCUCCUCCUCUUUCCUUCCUCUUCCACAGCUCCCUCAGCCAAGCAAUGAACGUGGGCUACAAAGAAUAUAUUAAGUAAAUUAAGAGUAGUGAUGGAGGAAAGAUAAAAGAUGCCUACUUCAGCCACGGUGGAGCCACCAGCUGAGAUUUUCUUUCAUAGAUACAGUAGGUAUCAAACGUGCCUUUUCCCAGCAGAUCCUCAGUGGGCCACAAAAACUUCUGAGGGCCAUUUAUGGACUACAGGCUUUAGCCUUCUUCGUCUUCCUUAUGGAUAAAUGUUUUGUUCAGUGCAUGAAAUAGGCAGCGAUUGAUGACCUUGCGUAUUAGUUUGUCAGACAAGCAAAGGAAAUGGGAUGUCAUUAGAGGUGAAAAAAUUGUCCUGUUGGUUCUAAACCUUCUACCUCCCCCCAGUAGAUACCAGCUGUUCCAAAGCUUUAGGAUCCCAUCCACACCUAUGACGCUUUAUGAAGGAGGCAUCUCUCCUCUGCCCUCUGGUGGUGCACAGAUUUCCAACUUGUACCUGCAUGUGAUUGUCAAGGCUCUCACAGCACCUCCCUUGGCAGCUCUGAAGCUCUGAUGAUCCAUUAAGACUGCUGUCCCCAAAGAUCUCCUUUUCUAAUGGCAGUUACCACCACUUGCAAGUUCUUAGAUCUGGAAGUUCUUUUGAUCAAAGAACAUUAAGCAUAUUUUUCAGAUCUUUCAAAUGGAUCCACUGAUGGUUAACUCUGCCUUCCUUAGGGAACAGGAGCUGAACUUGCCUGCAACCCUCUCACCUAAUGGAGAGAAUUUGGGACUAGCUAGGCAUUAGGAGGGGCCUACAAACUUCUAUUGAACAAAUGCAGCCGAUCAGACUUGCUCUUUGUCUCUUUCCACUAAAGGUCAUUGGGG
Non-coding RNA from Podarcis muralis (Common wall lizard), 4286 nucleotides. NCBI's taxonomy places the organism in Eukaryota, Metazoa, Chordata, Lepidosauria, Squamata, Lacertidae. The record is from RefSeq and is a predicted model, not a curated record.